Molecule: ribosomal RNA, 352 nt
Filed under: uncultured bacterium
Lineage: Bacteria
Description: bacterial SSU rRNA
Rfam family: Bacterial small subunit ribosomal RNA
Source: RNAcentral
AACGAACGCUGGCGGCGCGCCUAAUACAUGCAAGUCGAGCGAGAAGACGUAGCAAUACGUUUGUAAAGCGGCGAACGGGUGAGGAAUACAUGGGUAACCUACCCUCGAGUGGGGAAUAACUAGCCGAAAGGUUAGCUAAUACCGCGUACGCUCCUUGGACUUCGGUUCAGGGAGGAAAGCGAUACCGUGGGUAUCGCGCUCUUGGAUGGGCUCAUGUCCUAUCAGCUUGUUGGUGAGGUAACGGCUCACCAAGGCUUCGACGGGUAGCUGGUCUGAGAGGACGAUCAGCCACACUGGCACUGCGACACGGGCCAGACUCCUACGGGAGGCAGCAGUAAGGAUAUUGCGCAAU